UACGUAGGGUGCGAGCGUUAAUCGGAAUUACUGGGCGUAAAGCGUGCGCAGGCGGCUUCUCAAGUCAGGGGUGAAAGCCCAGAGCUUAACUCUGGAAUUGCCUUUGAGACUGAGAGGCUUGAGUACGGGAGAGGUGAGUGGAAUUCCCAGUGUAGAGGUGAAAUUCGUAGAUAUUGGGAAGAACACCGGUGGCGAAGGCGGCUCACUGGCCCGGUACUGACGCUGAGGUGCGAAAGCGUGGGGAGCAAACAGG
This 253-nucleotide ribosomal RNA is filed under the name uncultured bacterium. Its description in RNAcentral is "partial 16S ribosomal RNA". It matches the Rfam family "Bacterial small subunit ribosomal RNA", at positions 524 to 776 of the family's 1533-position model. The record is from RNAcentral.